RNAcentral lists this ribosomal RNA (433 nucleotides) under uncultured bacterium. Its description in RNAcentral is "partial 16S ribosomal RNA". It matches the Rfam family "Bacterial small subunit ribosomal RNA", at positions 29 to 507 of the family's 1533-position model. The record is from RNAcentral.
AACGAACGCUGGCGGCAUGCCUAACACAUGCCAGUCGAACGAGACCUUCGGGUCUAGUGGCGCACGGGUGCGUAACGCGUGGGAACCUGCCCUUAGGUUCGGAAUAACUCCCCGAAAGGGGUGCUAAUACCGGAUAAUGUCUUCGGACCAAAGAUUUAUCGCCUUUGGAUGGGCCCGCGUUGGAUUAGCUAGUUGGUAGGGUACAAGCCUACCAAGGCGACGAUCCAUAGCUGGUCUGAGAGGAUGAUCAGCCACACUGGGACUGAGACACGGCCCAGACUCCUACGGGAGGCAGCAGUGGGGAAUAUUGGACAAUGGGCGAAAGCCUGAUCCAGCAAUGCCGCGUGAGUGAUGAAGGCCUUAGGGUUGUAAAGCUCUUUUACCCGGGAUGAUAAUGACAGUACCGGGAGAAUAAGCUCCGGCUAACUCCGUG